Ipomoea nil (Japanese morning glory) is the source of this 703-nucleotide RNA transcript. RefSeq lists it as uncharacterized. Lineage: Eukaryota; Viridiplantae; Streptophyta; Magnoliopsida; Solanales; Convolvulaceae. The transcript is spliced from 2 exons. The record is from RefSeq and is a predicted model, not a curated record.
GCCUUGUAAUUUUGGGGUGUGAGUUUUCUUUUUGGGUUUACUGUGGCGGUGGUGGGGGCUGGUCCGACGGGGUAUGGUGGUGGGCUGGGAGACUGGUGGUCUGUGUACGGUGGUGGGGUGUUGUCCAGUUAGUUGGCGUCUCUCCACUCUUUUCCAAAAGCGAAGGUCUCCGUUCUGGUGCUCUCCAACGACGAAGAUGGUGCUGGCUGGGGACCACGGUAGAGGCAAGCGGUGGGGAUCAUCAUGUGCACAUGUCGGUCGAGUUAUAAAAUAAAGGUUAUGAAGAUGUUGAAUUCGUGUUUUUGGAACUUUGAGUGAGCGAUGAUGACUUCGUUUCACCACCUUUGGAUUUCCAAGCGAGAUUGCAGCAAGACCUGCUGUGGAAUGCCCCCGAUGAUGAUUCAUCGUCUGAAGAGGAGUCUCGUGGUGAGCAGCUUGCACACGGAUACGUUUGAUUGUGCGGCCAUCAUCUUGUGCACAUUUUAGUUUUUGAUGCUACUGUAAUGGGACACGAAUAGUUGUUAAGCUAUGUUUUUGGGUUCGUUGUGUUUCUUGUGAGUGUUUUGGUGGUUUAUAUCGGUGUCAACUAGUGUUCUCUCUUUGUUUCACUAAUUUUGGACCCCCUUUUAGUUGUGGAGCGUUGCCUAUGUCCUCCUCCAUGUUUGCACAUUUAUUUUUAAUUGUGUGAACGUCUAUUGUCUUA